UUAAGCGACUAAGCGUACACGGUGGAUGCCCUGGCAGUCAGAGGCGAUGAAGGACGUGCUAAUCUGCGAUAAGCGUCGGUGAGGUGAUAUGAACCGUUAUAACCGGCGAUUUCCGAAUGGGGAAACCCAGUGUGUUUCGACACACUAUCAUUAACUGAAUCCAUAGGUUAAUGAGGCGAACCGGGGGAACUGAAACAUCUAAGUACCCCGAGGAAAAGAAAUCAACCGAGAUUCCCCCAGUAGCGGCGAGCGAACGGGGAGGAGCCCAGAGCCUGAAUCAGUGUGUGUGUUAGUGGAAGCGUCUGGAAAGGCGCGCGAUACAGGGUGACAGCCCCGUACACAAAAAUGCACAUAUUGUGAGCUCGAUGAGUAGGGCGGGACACGUGGUAUCCUGUCUGAAUAUGGGGGGACCAUCCUCCAAGGCUAAAUACUCCUGACUGACCGAUAGUGAACCAGUACCGUGAGGGAAAGGCGAAAAGAACCCCGGCGAGGGGAGUGAAAAAGAACCUGAAACCGUGUACGUACAAGCAGUGGGAGCCUCUUAAUGGGGUGACUGCGUACCUUUUGUAUAAUGGGUCAGCGACUUAUAUUCUGUAGCAAGGUUAACCGAAUAGGGGAGCCGAAGGGAAACCGAGUCUUAACUGGGCGUUAAGUUGCAGGGUAUAGACCCGAAACCCGGUGAUCUAGCCAUGGGCAGGUUGAAGGUUGGGUAACACUAACUGGAGGACCGAACCGACUAAUGUUGAAAAAUUAGCGGAUGACUUGUGGCUGGGGGUGAAAGGCCAAUCAAACCGGGAGAUAGCUGGUUCUCCCCGAAAGCUAUUUAGGUAGCGCCUCGUGAAUUCAUCUCCGGGGGUAGAGCACUGUUUCGGCAAGGGGGUCAUCCCGACUUACCAACCCGAUGCAAACUGCGAAUACCGGAGAAUGUUAUCACGGGAGACACACGGCGGGUGCUAACGUCCGUCGUGAAGAGGGAAACAACCCAGACCGCCAGCUAAGGUCCCAAAGUCAUGGUUAAGUGGGAAACGAUGUGGGAAGGCCCAGACAGCCAGGAUGUUGGCUUAGAAGCAGCCAUCAUUUAAAGAAAGCGUAAUAGCUCACUGGUCGAGUCGGCCUGCGCGGAAGAUGUAACGGGGCUAAACCAUGCACCGAAGCUGCGGCAGCGACACUAUGUGUUGUUGGGUAGGGGAGCGUUCUGUAAGCCUGUGAAGGUGUACUGUGAGGUAUGCUGGAGGUAUCAGAAGUGCGAAUGCUGACAUAAGUAACGAUAAAGCGGGUGAAAAGCCCGCUCGCCGGAAGACCAAGGGUUCCUGUCCAACGUUAAUCGGGGCAGGGUGAGUCGACCCCUAAGGCGAGGCCGAAAGGCGUAGUCGAUGGGAAACAGGUUAAUAUUCCUGUACUUGGUGUUACUGCGAAGGGGGGACGGAGAAGGCUAUGUUGGCCGGGCGACGGUUGUCCCGGUUUAAGCGUGUAGGCUGGUUUUCCAGGCAAAUCCGGAAAAUCAAGGCUGAGGCGUGAUGACGAGGCACUACGGUGCUGAAGCGACAAAUGCCCUGCUUCCAGGAAAAGCCUCUAAGCAUCAGGUAACAUCAAAUCGUACCCCAAACCGACACAGGUGGUCAGGUAGAGAAUACCAAGGCGCUUGAGAGAACUCGGGUGAAGGAACUAGGCAAAAUGGUGCCGUAACUUCGGGAGAAGGCACGCUGAUAUGUAGGUGAAGCGACUUGCUCGUGGAGCUGAAAUCAGUCGAAGAUACCAGCUGGCUGCAACUGUUUAUUAAAAACACAGCACUGUGCAAACACGAAAGUGGACGUAUACGGUGUGACGCCUGCCCGGUGCCGGAAGGUUAAUUGAUGGGGUUAGCGGUAACGCGAAGCUCUUGAUCGAAGCCCCGGUAAACGGCGGCCGUAACUAUAACGGUCCUAAGGUAGCGAAAUUCCUUGUCGGGUAAGUUCCGACCUGCACGAAUGGCGUAAUGAUGGCCAGGCUGUCUCCACCCGAGACUCAGUGAAAUUGAACUCGCUGUGAAGAUGCAGUGUACCCGCGGCAAGACGGAAAGACCCCGUGAACCUUUACUAUAGCUUGACACUGAACAUUGAGCCUUGAUGUGUAGGAUAGGUGGGAGGCUUUGAAGUGUGGACGCCAGUCUGCAUGGAGCCGACCUUGAAAUACCACCCUUUAAUGUUUGAUGUUCUAACGUGGGCCCCUUACCGGGGUUGCGGACAGUGUCUGGUGGGUAGUUUGACUGGGGCGGUCUCCUCCUAAAGAGUAACGGAGGAGCACGAAGGUUGGCUAAUCCUGGUCGGACAUCAGGAG
Molecule: ribosomal RNA, 2316 nt
Filed under: Escherichia coli
Lineage: Bacteria; Pseudomonadati; Pseudomonadota; Gammaproteobacteria; Enterobacterales; Enterobacteriaceae
Description: bacterial LSU rRNA
Rfam family: Bacterial large subunit ribosomal RNA
Source: RNAcentral